CGUACACUCCUGCGGGAGGCAGCAGUGGGGAAUAUUGGACAAUGGGCGCAAGCCUGAUCCAGCCAUGCCGCGUGAGUGAUGAAGGCCCUAGGGUUGUAAAGCUCUUUCACCGGUGAAGAUAAUGACGGUAACCGGAGAAGAAGCCCCGGCUAACUUCGUGCCAGCAGCCGCGGUAAUACGAAGGGGGCUAGCGUUGUUCGGAUUUACUGGGCGUAAAGCGCACGUAGGCGGACUAUUAAGUCAGGGGUGAAAUCCCGGGGCUCAACCCCGGAACUGCCUUUGAUACUGGUAGUCUUGAGUUCGAGAGAGGUGAGUGGAAUUCCGAGUGUAGAGGUGAAAUUCGUAGAUAUUCGGAGGAACACCAGUGGCGAAGGCGGCUCACUGGCUCGAUACUGACGCUGAGGUGCGAAAGCGUGGGGAGCAAACAGGAUUAGAAACCCGUGUAGUCCCAUG
RNAcentral lists this ribosomal RNA (453 nucleotides) under uncultured organism. RNAcentral describes it as "partial 16S ribosomal RNA". It matches the Rfam family "Bacterial small subunit ribosomal RNA", at positions 330 to 799 of the family's 1533-position model. The record is from RNAcentral.